CCUACGGGAGGCAGCAGUGGGGAAUUUUGGACAAUGGGGGCAACCCUGAUCCAGCCAUUCCGCGUGAGUGAAGAAGGCCUUCGGGUUGUAAAGCUCUUUUGUUCGGGACGAAACGGUUAAGGUUAAUAACCUUGACUACUGACGGUACCGGAAGAAUAAGCACCGGCUAACUACGUGCCAGCAGCCGCGGUAAUACGUAGGGUGCGAGCGUUAAUCGGAAUUACUGGGCGUAAAGCGUGCGCAGGCGGUUUUGUAAGCCAGAUGUGAAAUCCCCGGGCUCAACCUGGGAAUGGCAUUUGGGACUGCAAGGCUAGAGUAUGGCAGAGGGGACUAGAAUUCCUGGUGUAGCAGUGAAAUGCGUAGAUAUCAGGAGGAAUACCGAUGGCGAAGGCAGGUCCCUGGGCCAAUACUGACGCUCAUGCACGAAAGCGUGGGGAGCAAACAGGAUUAGAUACCCUGGUAGUCCCACCGACCUAACCGACUAGUCACUAGUUGGUUGGGGUAGUUUAUUUACUUCUUACGUUAACGUAACGACGUAACGUCGUAGUAAGUUAGUACCGUCCGUCGGGAGGUACGGUCGCGAGAGUAAACGUACGAAGUAAGUAGUAGNGUUGUAGAGUUGCGACGGCGCGACGAGGGAGGAGG
RNAcentral lists this ribosomal RNA (645 nucleotides) under uncultured bacterium. RNAcentral describes it as "bacterial SSU rRNA". The stretch from base 1 to 543 matches the Rfam family "Bacterial small subunit ribosomal RNA", at positions 338 to 873 of the family's 1533-position model. The record is from RNAcentral.